GAUGAACGCUGACAGAAUGCUUAACACAUGCAAGUCUUUGGCGAAGCUGUGCUUGCACAGCCUAGCCAAGGCGGACGGGUGAGUAACGCGUAAGGAACUUGCCCUGCAGUCAGGGAUAACAGACGGAAACGACUGAUAAGACCUGGUAAAGUCAGGCGGACUCAUGUCCAGCCUGAUGAAAAGAGAUGCUGCAGGAGAGCCUUGCGUCCUAUUAGCUUGUUGGUGGGGUAACGGCCCACCAAGGCGAUGAUAGGUAGCCGGCCUGAGAGGGUGGACGGCCACAAGGGGACUGAGAUACGGCCCGUACUCCUACGGGAGGCAGCAGUGGGGAAUAUUGGACAAUGGGGGCAACCCUGAUCCAGCAAUUCUGUGUGCACGAUGAAGGUUUUCGGAUUGUAAAGUGCUUUCAGCAGGGAAGAAAAAAUGACGGUACCUGCAGAAGAAGCGACGGCUAAAUACGUG
This 462-nucleotide ribosomal RNA is filed under the name uncultured bacterium. RNAcentral's name for it is "partial 16S ribosomal RNA". It matches the Rfam family "Bacterial small subunit ribosomal RNA", at positions 28 to 507 of the family's 1533-position model. The record is from RNAcentral.